CAGGGUGGCCAGGCCGGCGGCGGCCCAGAGGAGCGCGCAGAGGCAGCGCACGGAGCGGGGGCGCCGCAGGGCGAGGCCAGAGAGCGGGAGCGGGCCACGCUGAGGGCGGUGAGGAAGAAGGCGCCGGCGCCCAUGUCGAGCACGGUGGCGGAGAGCACCAGGCUGCAGAGCGGGCCCCCGCAGGGCCAGCCGAAGUCCAGCGCCGAGUCGGCGGCCCAGAAGGGCAGGGGCAGCGCGAACUGCAGAGCUUGCCUGGUGAUGAAUGUCAGCAACGAAGGAGGGAUGCAGUCAGCAAAAUGAAAUAGGAUAAUCCUGCUAAAUUACAAUAAUUGAAUGUAUUUAAUAAAGAUGUAUCAUUUCCUGCACUCCAAGUGCUGUGCUGAAGCAGAGGUUUAAAUAAAAAAAUACUUAGCAAGGCA
Caretta caretta (loggerhead turtle) is the source of this 419-nucleotide long non-coding RNA. RefSeq lists it as uncharacterized. NCBI's taxonomy places the organism in Eukaryota, Metazoa, Chordata, Testudines, Cheloniidae. The record is from RefSeq and is a predicted model, not a curated record.